RNAcentral lists this ribosomal RNA (215 nucleotides) under Campeiostachys nutans. RNAcentral's name for it is "Elymus nutans partial small subunit ribosomal RNA". The stretch from base 38 to 215 matches the Rfam family "Eukaryotic small subunit ribosomal RNA", at positions 685 to 864 of the family's 1831-position model. Lineage: Eukaryota; Viridiplantae; Streptophyta; Magnoliopsida; Poales; Poaceae. The record is from RNAcentral.
AGAUCAAAUUGUUGGUCGUGCCUUGGUACGUACUGGCAUUAUUGAUUUCUCCCUUCUGAAGAACCACGAUGUCAUUAAUUUGGUGUCAUGGGGAAUCAGGACUGUUACUUUGAAAAAAUUAGAGUGUUUAAAGCAGGCUAACGCUUGAAUACAUUAGCAUGGAAUAAUGAAAUAGGACGUUUGAUUCUAUUUUGUUGGUUUCUAGGAUCGACGUA